RNAcentral lists this non-coding RNA (185 nucleotides) under Candidatus Faeciplasma gallinarum. Its description in RNAcentral is "6S RNA". It matches the Rfam family "6S / SsrS RNA". Rfam says of the family: E. coli 6S RNA was the first non coding RNA to be sequenced, but its function was unknown until recently. It consists of 184 nucleotides that fold into an extended hairpin structure with a large single-stranded internal bulge. The 6S RNA specifically associates with RNA polymerase holoenzyme containing the sigma70 specificity factor. The record is from RNAcentral. Lineage: Bacteria; Bacillati; Bacillota; Clostridia; Eubacteriales; Oscillospiraceae.
UUUAUUCUGCCUUGUUCGAUAAAGCAUGUUAAUAUAAUCCAACAUAUCUUUAUAGGGAAUCGUGCUCCGGGUGCGGAUUGCAGACCUCCUGCGAAAGCGGACGAAGGGAGCGUGAAACAUCAGGGACGGUACCCACCUGCUUGUAAGCGGGUUUUAUGUUCAUGUGGCGGCAAGGCGGAGAAUAU